UGGCAUUGCACACUUGGUAUAGAUGAUGACACUAAGAUUUAAACUCUGACUCCAGAAUUCUUAUCUCCAUGAUUCUAUUCUGUCUCACCAGUAGAUUGACAGAUGUCAGUCUUGCUCCAUAUGCUUCCAUGUUAAGAGCUGAGCAUACCAGGACAUUGAAAAGAAAGAUUAUUUCACACAGUAUCAUAUCACCUACUUAUUCCUGCCUCCAGGAUCUUGCCUUGACUUCCUGCCCUGACUUCCCUUCAUGCUGGACUGCGGCUGGCGUAAAGCUUACACAUGGCGGUGGGGCUCAAGGAGGAGCCAGAAAAGGAAGACAGGAGGACUCCAGGGGCCAGCCACCCAGUUACACAGCAAGCUAUGGAAUAAGAAGUAAAAAAAGAUACUAUCCCUACACUGUCCUUAAGAUGACCCCUUUUGGAAUUGUCCCUGACCCUUCAGAAUCCAGACCCUCCAGUCUGAAUGACUUUAGCUUUCAUCAGGUGCCUUGGUGCCCAGCCACCCUGGCUGCGAUGGAAUAAAUGGGACACAUAUGUCACUUGGAACCUCAUGAGUCUCUUCAGCCUCCAUUCUGUCCCUGCAUCUGGAAUCAGACCACAUGGAAAGCUUCUCUCGAGAAUCAAUAGAAUCAAUAGAAAAACCUUUCUUCCCAUGGACUCCCACAGGAAUGAAAAGCAAUAGCAAAAAAACAUCACAUUUUGUGACGUUUUGUGACACUUCUUGCAGAGUGAGCCUUUAACCACCUUUUUGCCUGACUGGUUCCUCCUGAAAAGAACAUGUGGGAAUUGUUAAUACUUCCUUGCUUGACAGACAUGAAAUGCCAAUAUUUGCAUGCAUUAAAAAUCCCCCUGGCCUGUCUGACCUCUGGGCUCCUAAAACUCGUUUUUUAUCAUGUUGGUUUUGGAUAUUAAUGCAAAAUCAUCCCAAAUACCCUAGCUUCAAAAACCAUGAACAGAAAUGGAGCCGCUCUUUUUAGCUCUUUUAGUGUGGGAUAUCAUGUAAGAGAACUCAGAAGGCUUAAAGAGGUAGCACUCAACCGUUCUUCACAUGCUCACAUGCAUGUCACUCAUGUAAUAAAUGUGACCCACAUGUAUCUGGUGUGCAAGGAUCCCAAAAGUCACC
Molecule: long non-coding RNA, 1122 nt
Filed under: Cricetulus griseus (Chinese hamster)
Lineage: Eukaryota; Metazoa; Chordata; Mammalia; Rodentia; Cricetidae
Description: lncRNA (ENSCGRG00015034571.1)
Source: RNAcentral